CGCGGCCUAUCAGCUUGUUGGUGAGGUAACGGCUCACCAAGGCAUCGACGGGUAGCUGGUCUGAGAGGACGGUCAGCCACACUGGGACUGAGACACGGCCCAGACUCCUACGGGAGGCAGCAGUGGGGAAUCUUGCGCAAUGGGCGAAAGCCUGACGCAGCCACGCCGCGUGAGGGAUGAAGGCUUUCGGGUUGUAAACCUCUUUCAGCAGGGACGGAAAUGACGGUACCUGCAGAAGAAGGUCCGGCCAACUACGUGCCAGCAGCCGCGGUAACACGUAGGGACCAAGCGUUGUCCGGAUUUAUUGGGCGUAAAGAGCUCGUAGGCAGUUCAGUAAGUCAGGUGUGAAAGUCCAAGGCUCAACCUUGGAACGCCACUUGAUACUGCUGUGACUGGAGUCCGGUAGAGGAGUGUGGAAUUCCUGGUGUAGCGGUGAAAUGCGCAGAUAUCAGGAGGAACACCGACGGCGAAGGCAGCACUCUGGGCCGGUACUGACGCUGAGGAGCGAAAGCAUGGGGAGCGAACAGGAUUAGAUACCCUGGUAGUCCAUGCCGUAAACGUUGGGCACUAGGUGUGGGACCUUAUCAACGGGUUCCGUGCCGUAGCUAACGCAUUAAGUGCCCCGCCUGGGGAGUACGG
Molecule: ribosomal RNA, 639 nt
Filed under: uncultured Aciditerrimonas sp.
Lineage: Bacteria; Bacillati; Actinomycetota; Acidimicrobiia; Acidimicrobiales; Acidimicrobiaceae
Description: bacterial SSU rRNA
Rfam family: Bacterial small subunit ribosomal RNA
Source: RNAcentral